AGGAAAGAAACUAACAAGGAUUCCCUCAGUAACGGCGAGUGAAGCGGGAAGAGCCCAGCACUGAAUCCCCCGGCUGUGUGGUCGGCGGGAACUGUGGUGUUUGGGAGUGGUCUCUGGGGCGGCUGGUGGAUUGUCCGCGUCCUCCUGAUUGGGGCUUGACCCAUAGCGGGUGUAAGGCCUCUACAGCAUCCGCCGCCGUCCCUCUGGCGCUCCCUGGAGUCGGGUUGUUUGAGAAUGCAGCCCAAAGUGGGUGGUAAACUCCAUCUAAGGCUAAAUACUGGCACGAGUCCGAUAGCGAACAAGUACGGUGACGGAAAGUUGAAAAGCACUUUGAAGAGAGAGUUGGACAGUACGUGAAACCGUUUACAGGUAAACGGAUGGGACCGCAAUGUCGACGGCGUUGGGAUUCAGGUCACUGAGUCGGGUCGGUCAGUCUUCUCGGCUAGGGGGUAGAACCCCAGCCUCGGCUGUGCUGUGCUCGCACGACGUGUCUGCACUUCCUCGUCGGAGAGCGCCACGACCGCUUGUCUAGCAGCCAAAAGCUCCCCGUUCAAGGUAGCUCCUUCCCUUUGCGGGGUUAGGGGAACUUAUAGGUUCUGGGUGUCGGCUGGCCUGUUGGAUGAGCGAGGAACCCGGGCCGUGAGUACCCGACGUACGCACCGCUGGCUUGGUGUCGACUGGUGAGGACUGCUUGCAGUGCUUGCCGACCGCACUGGCUGGGUCAGGGAGUACGCCUUUAUCGGUGCUCAUCGAAGGGUCAGUGGUGAUUGAUCGGCACCCCAUCCGACCCGUCUUGAAACACGGACCAAGGAGUCUAACAUGUGCGCAAGUCAAAGGGUCUUACGAAACCCCAGGGCGCAGUGAAAGUGACGGGAGUUCACGGCUUCGGUCGGGUUCUCCUUUGAGGUGUGAUCCCGGUCCUCAGUCGGCUGGGCGCAACACCGGCCCGUCUCAACGUCCCUUUGCUUGGCGGGACGAGGCGGAGCUAGAGCGUACACGUUGGUACCCGAAAGAUGGUGAACUAUGCCUGAGCAGGUUGAAGCCAGAGGAAACUCUGGUGGAGGACCGUAGCGAUUCUGACGUGCAAAUCGAUCGUCGAACUUGGGUAUAGGGGCGAAAGAC
RNAcentral lists this ribosomal RNA (1122 nucleotides) under Vermiliopsis pygidialis. RNAcentral describes it as "eukaryotic LSU rRNA". It matches the Rfam family "Eukaryotic large subunit ribosomal RNA", at positions 55 to 931 of the family's 3401-position model. The record is from RNAcentral. Lineage: Eukaryota; Metazoa; Annelida; Polychaeta; Sabellida; Serpulidae.